AGUGAACGCUGGCGGCGUGCUUAACACAUGCAAGUCGAACGAGAACGGAAUAUAGCUUGCUAUAUUUGUCAGCUAAGUGGCGCACGGGUGAGAAAUGUAUAGAUAACCUACCCUUAAGAAAGGAAUAACAGUUGGAAACGACUGCUAAUGCCCUAUAUGCCUUUAAUACAUAAGUAUGCAAGGGAAACGCUUUAGUGCUUAAGGAUGGGUCUGUAUGGUAUCAGCUUGUUGGUGAGGUAAUGGCUCACCAAGGCUAUGACGCCUAACUGGUUUGAGAGGAUGAUCAGUCACACUGGAACUGAGACACGGUCCAGACUCCUACGGGAGGCAGCAGUGGGGAAUAUUGCACAAUGGACGAAAGUCUGAUGCAGCAACGCCGCGUGGAGGAUGACACAUUUCGGUGCGUAAACUCCUUUUAUAUAGGAAGAUAAUGACGGUACUAUAUGAAUAAGCACCGGCUAACUCCGAGCCAGCCGCCGCAGUAA
RNAcentral lists this ribosomal RNA (485 nucleotides) under uncultured bacterium. Its description in RNAcentral is "partial 16S ribosomal RNA". It matches the Rfam family "Bacterial small subunit ribosomal RNA", at positions 29 to 523 of the family's 1533-position model. The record is from RNAcentral.